CGGAACGGGUGAGUAACGCGUGAGGAACCUGCCUCAAAGAGGGGGACAACAGUUGGAAACGACUGCUAAUACCGCAUAAGCCCACGGUGCCGCAUGGUACAGAGGGAAAAGGAGCAAUCCGCUUUGAGAUGGCCUCGCGUCCGAUUAGCUAGUUGGUGAGGUAAUGGCCCACCAAGGCAACGAUCGGUAGCCGGACUGAGAGGUUGAACGGCCACAUUGGGACUGAGACACGGCCCAG
RNAcentral lists this ribosomal RNA (238 nucleotides) under uncultured bacterium. RNAcentral describes it as "partial 16S ribosomal RNA". It matches the Rfam family "Bacterial small subunit ribosomal RNA", at positions 100 to 334 of the family's 1533-position model. The record is from RNAcentral.